AGAGUUUGAUCAUGGCUCAGAUUGAACGCUGGCGGCAGGCCUAACACAUGCAAGUCGAGCGGUAGCACAGAGAGCUUGCUCUCGGGUGACGAGCGGCGGACGGGUGAGUAAUGUCUGGGAAACUGCCUGAUGGAGGGGGAUAACUACUGGAAACGGUAGCUAAUACCGCAUAACGUCGCAAGACCAAAGUGGGGGACCUUCGGGCCUCAUGCCAUCAGAUGUGCCCAGAUGGGAUUAGCUGGUAGGUGGGGUAACGGCUCACCUAGGCGACGAUCCCUAGCUGGUCUGAGAGGAUGACCAGCCACACUGGAACUGAGACACGGUCCAGACUCCUACGGGAGGCAGCAGUGGGGAAUAUUGCACAAUGGGCGCAAGCCUGAUGCAGCCAUGCCGCGUGUGUGAAGAAGGCCUUCGGGUUGUAAAGCACUUUCAGCGGGGAGGAAGGCGUUAAGGUUAAUAACCUUGGCGAUUGACGUUACCCGCAGAAGAAGCACCGGCUAACUCCGUGCCAGCAGCCGCGGUAAUACGGAGGGUGCAAGCGUUAAUCGGAAUUACUGGGCGUAAAGCGCACGCAGGCGGUCUGUCAAGUCGGAUGUGAAAUCCCCGGGCUCAACCUGGGAACUGCAUUCGAAACUGGCAGGCUAGAGUCUUGUAGAGGGGGGUAGAAUUCCAGGUGUAGCGGUGAAAUGCGUAGAGAUCUGGAGGAAUACCGGUGGCGAAGGCGGCCCCCUGGACAAAGACUGACGCUCAGGUGCGAAAGCGUGGGGAGCAAACAGGAUUAGAUACCCUGGUAGUCCACGCCGUAAACGAUGUCGAUUUGGAGGUUGUGCCCUUGAGGCGUGGCUUCCGGAGCUAACGCGUUAAAUCGACCGCCUGGGGAGUACGGCCGCAAGGUUAAAACUCAAAUGAAUUGACGGGGGCCCGCACAAGCGGUGGAGCAUGUGGUUUAAUUCGAUGCAACGCGAAGAACCUUACCUGGUCUUGACAUCCACAGAACUUUCCAGAGAUGGAUUGGUGCCUUCGGGAACUGUGAGACAGGUGCUGCAUGGCUGUCGUCAGCUCGUGUUGUGAAAUGUUGGGUUAAGUCCCGCAACGAGCGCAACCCUUAUCCUUUGUUGCCAGCGGUCCGGCCGGGAACUCAAAGGAGACUGCCAGUGAUAAACUGGAGGAAGGUGGGGAUGACGUCAAGUCAUCAUGGCCCUUACGACCAGGGCUACACACGUGCUACAAUGGCAUAUACAAAGAGAAGCGACCUCGCGAGAGCAAGCGGACCUCAUAAAGUAUGUCGUAGUCCGGAUUGGAGUCUGCAACUCGACUCCAUGAAGUCGGAAUCGCUAGUAAUCGUAGAUCAGAAUGCUACGGUGAAUACGUUCCCGGGCCUUGUACACACCGCCCGUCACACCAUGGGAGUGGGUUGCAAAAGAAGUAGGUAGCUUAACCUUCGGGAGGGCGCUUACCACUUUGUGAUUCAUGACUGGGGUGAAGUCGUAACAAGGUAACCGUAGGGGAACCUGCGGUUGGAUCACCU
This 1528-nucleotide ribosomal RNA is filed under the name Klebsiella variicola. RNAcentral describes it as "bacterial SSU rRNA". It matches the Rfam family "Bacterial small subunit ribosomal RNA". The record is from RNAcentral. Lineage: Bacteria; Pseudomonadati; Pseudomonadota; Gammaproteobacteria; Enterobacterales; Enterobacteriaceae.